AAGAUGGCGACCGGCGCACGGGUGAGUAACACGUAUCCAACCUGCCGAUAACUCUGGAAUAGCCUUUCGAAAGAAAGAUUAAUACCGGAUGGCAUACGAAUAUCGCAUGAUAUUUUUUAUUAAAGAAUUUCGGUUAUCGAUGGGGAUGCGUUCCAUUAGUUUGUUGGCGGGGUAACGGCCCACCAAGACAACGAUGGAUAGGGGUUCUGAGAGGAAGGUCCCCCACAUUGGAACUGAGACACGGUCCAA
This 249-nucleotide ribosomal RNA is filed under the name uncultured bacterium. RNAcentral's name for it is "partial 16S ribosomal RNA". It matches the Rfam family "Bacterial small subunit ribosomal RNA", at positions 85 to 334 of the family's 1533-position model. The record is from RNAcentral.